UAUAGGUUCACUUGUAAAAUCCCUCUACUCUUAAAAGAGUGAACGUGCCAUUCUCUGUUCAUUUUUGAAGCAUUUUCGAUUUCCCAUUUUACCCUUCAAUUCUAUUUUACACUAAUUCACAAAUUGAGGGCUUAAUGGUCUUUGCAUAUGAAAAAUAUCUCUAUCAAAUACACUGUGCUAACCCUCAGUUUCUCUGUCAAUUGUAGAAAAGAGAGAAUCCAAUCGAUGACUACAGCACCGAGUCUUCCUCUUCUAUCGGUGACUACAAAGCCGAGUCUACAUCUUCUUGCGAUUCGCCGUGUUUCUUCAUCUUGCUGCAAUUUGUACACCCUAAAAUAGAGAGGUACGUCAAUUCCAGAUUUGCUUCAGUUUAGGGUUUUUUCUUCUCUCAAAAUAAUUGUAGUACCUGUCGAUUUCUCAUUAUUUUGGUUUCAAUUCUUGGAUAUUUUCAACUAAAUAUUCUUUUCCUUCUUCCUGUGUGUACAAUUCUAUUUUUUAGUUGGUGGAAUCUCCCAAAAACCAGAAAAUUCGCACCGAAAUAGGAAACUGGCGACCUGAGGUGUGUGGAUUUAGUAUUUGCUUCAGUUUAGUGUUAUUUCUUGCUUCAUUUUUAACUUUUUCCUUUUUUGAAAUAUUCGUGUGGCCUCGUGUUCACACUACAAAUGAUUCAAACUGGUUAUGCAUUUUUCAUUCUAGAAAGUCUCCUUUCCACACUCACUGUUGAAUUUCAUCUCACACACGCUAGACUUUUGCUUUUGAGUCUCUCCCAAUUCUUUGAUAUCUUAGUUUGCUCUCCAUUUCCUAAGACUUUUACCUUUCCCAAUUUUUUUUCACAUCUUGCCUCCUCAGUUAUCAUUGAUGCCAAUGUAAACUGUAAAUAUGUUCUUUUUCAGCAAUUGCAUCCAUUAAUAUUAUCCUAACUUUGAACUGAAAUUUUCGUUUCUUCUUAUGUGUAUAGUGUCCAAUGUGUUCUCUGGUCGAUUAAAUCGAUGACUACAGUGUUGCAUUUUACCUUAGGUAAGUUGUUCGUGAUUUGUGUUUUUUAUUCCUCACUCUAUCUCCGAUCAGUUUUUGUUGAUUUUCUUCGGUUUCGUGUUGUGAAGUUUACGGGUGUGGUUAAAAGGUAAGCUGUUCUUUUCUCUUUUUGUUUAUAACAUGAAUCCUAUAAAUCUAAAUUUCUUCCAUAAUGUUUAUUUAGAUCUUCUGUGAAAAUUGUUAUCUUGUUCAUGUUCUAAAGUUUUUGUACCUUUUUUACUUCUCUUGGAACAUAAAUUGUAGCACCGUACCUUUUUAAAUUUUGAAAGUUAUAUGUUGUUCUUUAGAGGUUUAAAUUUUUAUUUUUAUUUUUUUUCCCUAGAAUCUGGAUUUGUAGUAAUGACUUGUUUGUUUAUUAAUUAUUAAUUCUAAGUACAAGAGUGUAAUCCAUGAGUUUGAUCCAUAUUUUAAUUAAAGAGACACCAAGGCAUGUUCUAACUCAUUGGAUUUUCUAGAACUGCAGAAUUUAAUUAUUUUACUCUUGUAAUCUUUGCUUAAGAAUUUCAUGACAAAUAUAUGUUCAUCUAUUUUCUGUUCUAUAAACAAUAAUUACAUGUAUUAUACUAUGGGAUACACACAUGGUGAAAAAGAGUUCUUCCAUUUAAACAGAUAGAGUAUAUAUUAUAGCCUAUUACAGAUUCUGUCAACACCAAUGGGUGAAAUUUUAAAUGUAAUAUAAAACAAAUGUCUAAUUCUUGCACCGUGCAAGAAAUUGAAUCAACUACUAAAGGAUUUAACCACUAAAGUGUGUGAAUUUGCGGGAGAUUAUAUUUUUAUUUUAUUUUUAUCUAGAGAGAGAAAAUACUCUUAGGAUUAAAGGAAAGCUAGAAACAUAUGUGGUCACUUCCCUUCCAAAAGAGGAAACGUAUGGUCACUUUUAACAAUUGCUGAAGUAGGUAAGCUUUGACAUGGAAGCAGUUGUCUAAUUUUGAUGGUUCGUGGACUCUUCAAAAUCAAGCCUUUUUCAAUUUUGCGUGCUUGGCACAAACCCUUUAAAAAUGUCCAAGAAAUUGCCGCUCCUUUAUGGGAAAUGAACUAGAGAACAUUAUAAUUUGGUGAAGGGAGAUAUCAAGCUGAGCUGGCGUGGUUAUUCGUAAGUUCUCUUUGUUACUUGUAUAUUGAAUUUGGCCUCUCCCUUUAUGUGUGGAUCUAUGCAAGUCCUAAUUGCUGUGCAUUUGCAGUUCAGCUGCCUCGUUUGCUUUAGACGGAGGUGAUUUUGUUGGGAUUCAUGGAAAUGGUGGUCGAGAUGGCAGAGGCAAUGGUGCGGCUGAGGGUGGAGAGUCAAAGUUGCGUUCCUAGGUGGCUAGAGUUGUCUAUUUUCUGAAUUUUUUUUUCUCGAUUCUUCUUCUUUUUUUCAAUUCAAUUUUGUAGAAAAAUUGAUUAAUAACAUAGGCCUCGAAUUUUGUUUUUUAAAAUUUUCUUAUGAGGAAUCAUUUCUUGAAAGCAUCUUUAGUUGUGUUUUCUUUGCCAUAUAUGAGCUUGUGUUUUGAUAUUUUCAUUAAUUUUUCUAAAUAAAUGAACUCUAGACAUUUUAAUUGUUUAUCGAUAUUGCAUCUGAUAAAUAAAAUGGUUGUGAUUCCUGAUUCAUUUAUUUGCCAAUGUGAUAUCCUGAAUUGGGGACUUUUCCCUCAGUUUUUAGAAGUAAUAAGAAAUUGAAAAAUUUAUAUUUUUAGUUGAGCCGGGAUUGUUAGAUUUUGAAUGUUUAGUUGUUCUAUUUCGGAUUAUUCCUACCAAGAGCAAGCACGAUUAGCGCGAUUCUGUUUAAAUGACUUAUGUAAAGGGAUUCUCAUUUUCAAGGAGGGUCUUUUGUCUAUUUCUCUUAUAUUCAUAUUGAAACUAAAGAAGGAAUUUUGUUAACUUCCUCCACUGCAGUGUGUAUUUUAUUAGGAGCAAUGCCCGGAGUUCUAAUCGGGCAAGAGAUCGCAGUACCAUCUCUGGUGCUAUUUUCUCAAUCGAGGUGUUUUGAGUCUUUAAUGCUUUUAUGGCAAUCACAUGAAUCUGGCAUUGGAUAUAUACUGUAUUUGGUGACCAACAUUCUUUAUCUGAA
This 3082-nucleotide long non-coding RNA is filed under the name Olea europaea subsp. europaea. Lineage: Eukaryota; Viridiplantae; Streptophyta; Magnoliopsida; Lamiales; Oleaceae. The record is from RNAcentral.